GGGGGGGGGGGGGGGGGGGGGGGGGGGGGGCGGGGCGGGCGGGGGGGCCCGGCGGGUGGGGGGUGCGCGGGGGGCGCGCGGGGGAGUCACGCGUGAGUGACCUGCCCUUGCCCGUGGGAUAACUGCGGGGAACUGGGGCUAACACCGGAGAGGCGCCCCUGCUGCAUGGUGGUGGUUGGAAAGUCCCGGCGGGUGGGGACGUCCGCGCGGCUCAUCAGCUCGUUGGUGGGGUAGGGGCUUACCAAGGCUUUGACGGGUCGCCGGCCUGGGAGGGUUACCGGCCACAUUGGGACUGAGAUACGGCCCAGACUCCUACGGGAGGCAGCAGUGGGGAAUAUUGCCCAAUGGGGGGAAGCCUGAUGCAGCAACGCCGCGUGCGGGAUGGCGGCCUUCGGGUUGUAAACCGCUUUCGCCUGUGACGAAGCGUGAGUGACGGUAAUGGGUAAAGAAGCACCGGCUAACUACGUG
This 468-nucleotide ribosomal RNA is filed under the name uncultured bacterium. Its description in RNAcentral is "partial 16S ribosomal RNA". The stretch from base 49 to 468 matches the Rfam family "Bacterial small subunit ribosomal RNA", at positions 39 to 507 of the family's 1533-position model. The record is from RNAcentral.